AUUAAAAUGGCAGAUAAUAUGCAUUAGAUUUAAAACCUAAAGAUGAGUGAUACUCUUUUAAUA
RNAcentral lists this transfer RNA (63 nucleotides) under Phreagena soyoae (deep-sea cold-seep clam). Its description in RNAcentral is "tRNA-Leu". The record is from RNAcentral. Lineage: Eukaryota; Metazoa; Mollusca; Bivalvia; Venerida; Vesicomyidae. RNAcentral also lists the same sequence under 1 other name.